Molecule: ribosomal RNA, 411 nt
Filed under: uncultured bacterium
Lineage: Bacteria
Description: bacterial SSU rRNA
Rfam family: Bacterial small subunit ribosomal RNA
Source: RNAcentral
GCGGCACGCUUAAACAUGCAAGUCGAACGCAGUAGCAAUACUGAGUGGCAGACGGGUGAGUAUAAUGUGGGAAUCUGCCUUUUGGUUCGGAAUAACUCGGGGAAACUUGAGCUAAUACCGGAUAAGCCCUUACGGGGAAAGAUUUAUCGCCAAAAGAUGAGCCCGCACUUGAUUAGCUUGUUGGUGAGGUAAAAGCUCACCAAGGCAACAAUCAAUAGCUGUUCUUAGAGGAAGACCAGCCACAUUGGGACUGAGACACGGCCCAGACUCCUACGGGAGGCAGCAGUGGGGAAUCUUGCACAAUGGGGGAAACCCUGAUGCAGCGAUGCCGCGUGAGUGAAGAAGGCCUUUGGGUUGUAAAACUCUUUCGUCGGGGAAGAAAAUGACUGUACCCGAAUAAGAAGGUCCGGC